CUGUCUGUAGAUUUCUUCUCUCUGUGUCUCACACACAUUUUAUUUGAAAGCAUUGAAUAAGUAGCUCAGGCUCUGGCUCAGACUUAAGGGACUGAUGAAGUACGCCCCCACCGCAGCCAGCUUUCUCUGCGCCCCAGUCCAGCCAGUUCCAGACGUCGGGCUGAGAUUCUGCUAUCACGUAGGCAGUGAGACUGGGGGAGACGCGAAGCUUCCCUUGAAACCAUCAAGACAGAUGUGCGCGUGUUUUAGGGUGUACCCCCAAGGCAAGCACAUCUGGGGCGUCUCCAGGCAGAUGCUCACCCUCGGGGUCAACCAGGAGGCUGCAGCUUUGCGAGACAACCACCGCCCAGAACCCUGGUCCGGGUGGAGGGGUGGGCGGCACCGCCCCUCGGGGAAUGUUCUCCCGACUUCGGAGAGGAAGAAAGGAAGAAAUGCACCCUAGGAAAAUGGGCUUCGACUUUUUGUGUCUGUGCUUUCAUGGAAGUCACCAGUUCUCUGGCUGCUUAAGAUGCUGCUCAGAAGCGCACCGAGCCAGACUGUGGCUAGCCUGGCUAAGUCCGCGUGUCCUGGUCGGCGACCACUUAGGGUAGCCCCGGGAUAAACAAUAGCCACCAAGUCUAGGAGAGAUAUAUUCGCCAUGCUUACCUGUUGACAAAAAGAAAAUGAAAAAUAAAAUUUAAAAUUUGGAAAAUAAUACAUGGUAACAUCUUUUAGAACCGAGGCUUUUCAGACAAAAGCCAAUUUUACCAUGCCAAAAGCCAUGGAGCCCUGGAACUUCCGUUCGCGGCACUUUGGCGCCCUCUGGCUGUGUCAGGAUUGCUUGCUUGUUCUGCUUCGUCCCAAACGAAGAGGGGCAAUGGAAAUGCUUGCUGUCCUCUUGGUUGGAUCUACCCUCAUGAGAGGAACACGAAUUCAGAAGGAUCUUAUCCUCCACGGUCGCGAUGGCAAAACAUAACCAUAUUUAUAGAGACAAACGCCAAAGGGUCUCACUCAUAAAGACCCAUGCCUCUCCAUCUGCCUCUCCACCCCAGGGACUGGGAUUAAAGUCUUGAGGAGUCUCCUACCAAUCGGACAGUUAAAGCAUGACGACGUGAGUGACAGUCGGCAGUUCUACGGCAGAGAUCAGCCUCAGAGCAUUGUAUGCAUCCUCUCUUUCACCCCUGGCCACAACACCUUAUGAAAAUAAACUUAUCACAGUCAUUUCUUAAAAGCAGAGAUGAAGGCCAAGAGAAGACAGAGGCCUCGUCCUCCUCCAAUUGUAAAACCGAAUUCCAGCUGGAAAAUCUCUCUCCAAACCACACACUAACAGCAUGGAUAUGCCUCUUUCUCUUCGCAAGCCCAGAGAGACCAUGUAGAGAGUGCCAAAAAUCAGCUCCAAGCCCUCAGGAGGGCAGAGACCACAGGCAUCCAUGAGACACCUCUCUGCCUCUCCCACUGUUCUCUCCUCUUUUUUCUCCUUCUCCUCUUCCUCCUCCUUCUCUUCCUCCCCACAAUCCUCCCUUCUGCUCUCAAAGGCUCCUUCCCAGGAUGGAUUGGGUGCUGGGAGGACCACAGUUUAGUCUGACAGCUUCCUUUCCCUGUGUCUUAUUUCAAACACGAACUGUACAAUGUGGA
Long non-coding RNA from Myodes glareolus (Bank vole), 1614 nucleotides. RefSeq lists it as uncharacterized. The record is from RefSeq and is a predicted model, not a curated record. NCBI's taxonomy places the organism in Eukaryota, Metazoa, Chordata, Mammalia, Rodentia, Cricetidae.